CCUACGGGUGGCUGCAGUGGGGAAUAUUGCACAAUGGGCGCAAGCCUGAUGCAGCCAUGCCGCGUGUGUGAAGAAGGCCUUCGGGUUGUAAAGCACUUUCAGCGGGGAGGAAGGCGGUGAGGUUAAUAACCUCAUCGAUUGACGUUACCCGCAGAAGAAGCACCGGCUAACUCCGUGCCAGCAGCCGCGGUAAUACGGAGGGUGCAAGCGUUAAUCGGAAUUACUGGGCGUAAAGCGCACGCAGGCGGUCUGUCAAGUCGGAUGUGAAAUCCCCGGGCUCAACCUGGGAACUGCAUUCGAAACUGGCAGGCGAGAGUCUUGUAGAGGGGGGUAGAAUUCCAGGUGUAGCGGUGAAAUGCGUAGAGAUCUGGAGGAAUACCGGUGGCGAAGGCGGCCCCCUGGACAAAGACUGACGCUCAGGUGCGAAAGCGUGGGGAGCAAAGAGGAUUAGAUACCCGAGUAGUC
This 465-nucleotide ribosomal RNA is filed under the name uncultured Klebsiella sp. RNAcentral describes it as "bacterial SSU rRNA". It matches the Rfam family "Bacterial small subunit ribosomal RNA", at positions 338 to 795 of the family's 1533-position model. Lineage: Bacteria; Pseudomonadati; Pseudomonadota; Gammaproteobacteria; Enterobacterales; Enterobacteriaceae. The record is from RNAcentral.